AUUGAACGCUGGCGGCAGGCCUAACACAUGCAAGUCGAGCGGAUGAAGGGAGCUUGCUCCUGGAUUUAGCGGCGGACGGGUGAGCAAUGCCUAGGAAUCUGCCUGGAGGUGGGGAAUACCGUCGGGACCAGGGCGCUACUACUGCAGACGACCUGAGGGCGAACGUGGGGGACCUUGGACCAUACCCCCUUCCCAGGAGCCUAGGUCGGUUUAGCUAGUUGGUGGGGUAAAGGACUACCAUGGCGACGAUCCGUAACUGGUCUGAGAGGAUGAUCAGUCACACUGGAACUGGGACACGGUCCAGACUCCUGCGGGAGGCAGCAGUGAGGAAUAUUGGACAGUGGUCGAAGACCUGAUCCAGCCAUGCCGCGUGUGUGAAGAAGGUCUUCGGAUUGUAAAGCACUUUAAGUUGGGAGGAAGGGCAGUAAGUUAAUACCUUGCUGUUUUGACGUUACCAACAGAAUAAGCACCGGCUAACUUCGUG
This 484-nucleotide ribosomal RNA is filed under the name uncultured bacterium. RNAcentral describes it as "partial 16S ribosomal RNA". It matches the Rfam family "Bacterial small subunit ribosomal RNA", at positions 30 to 507 of the family's 1533-position model. The record is from RNAcentral.